Molecule: small nucleolar RNA, 217 nt
Organism: Eptatretus burgeri (inshore hagfish)
Lineage: Eukaryota; Metazoa; Chordata; Myxini; Myxiniformes; Myxinidae
Source: Ensembl
AAGACUAUACUUUCAGGGAUCAUUUCUAUAGUUUGUGAGUCCAGAAACGUAACUGAAAGUGAACGGACACGUUAACCCUGAUGAGGAGCAGAAAUCUCGCUUCCUGAGCGCGAAGCCGGUUCGAAGUACUGCUUUUGUGGAUGCUUCUUACCAUUGAUGACCGUUCCCUUCACCACUUGGUGGUGGGGUGGAGGGAAGUGAGAUAUUCUGAGGGGUU